This 254-nucleotide ribosomal RNA is filed under the name uncultured bacterium. Its description in RNAcentral is "partial 16S ribosomal RNA". It matches the Rfam family "Bacterial small subunit ribosomal RNA", at positions 524 to 777 of the family's 1533-position model. The record is from RNAcentral.
UACAGGGGGUGCAAACGUUGCUCGGAAUCAUUGGGCGUAAAGCGCACGUAGGCGGUUCGUUAUGUCGGAUGUGAAAGCCCUUGGCUUAACCGAGGAAGUGCAUCCGAAACUGGCGAGCUAGAGUACGAAAGAGGAUCGCGGAAUUCCCGGUGUAGAGGUGAAAUUCGUAGAUAUCGGGAGGAACACCGGUGGCGAAGGCGGCGAUCUGGGUCGAUACUGACGCUGAGGUGCGAAAGCGUGGGGAGCAAACAGGG